AGAGAGUGAUAGCCUCGUAAGCGAAACUUCGUUUCCUCAGUUCAGGAUCCUGAGUACGGCGGAACACGUGAAACUCCGUCGGAAUCCGGGAGGACCAUCUCCCAAGGCUAAAUACUACCUAGUGACCGAUAGUGAACCAGUACCGUGAGGGAAAGGUGAAAAGCACCCCGGGAGGGGAGUGAAAUAGUUCCUGAAACCAUAUGCCUACAAGUAGUCAGAGCUCGUUAAUGAGUGAUGGCGUGCCUUUUGUAGAAUGAACCGGCGAGUUACGUUAGCGUGCGAGGUUAAGGAGGAAAGUCCGGAGCCGUAGCGAAAGCGAGUCUGAAUAGGGCGAGAUAGUACGUUGACGUAGACCCGAAACCAGGUGACCUACCCAUGUCCAGGUUGAAGGUGCGGUAAAACGCACUGGAGGACCGAACCCGUGUAUGUUGAAAAAUGCUGGGAUGAGGUGUGGGUAGAGGUGAAAUUCCAAACGAACUUGGAGAUAGCUGGUUCUCUCCGAAAUAGCUUUAGGGCUAGCCUCGGAGUUAAGAAUCGUGGAGGUAGAGCACUGUUUGGACUAGGGGCCCGUCUUGGGUUACUGAAUUCAGAUAAACUCCGAAUGCCACAGAUUUAUAUCCGGGAGUCAGACUGCGAGUGAUAAGAUCCGUAGUCGAAAGGGAAACAGCCCAGACCACCGAUUAAGGUCCCAAAAUAUGUGUUAAGUGGAAAAGGAUGUGGAAUUGCAUAGACAACUAGGAUGUUGGCUUAGAAGCAGCCACCAUUUAAAGAGUGCGUAAUAGCUCACUAGUCGAGUGAUCCUGCGCCGAAAAUGUAACGGGGCUAAACACAUUACCGAAAUCGUGGAUGUACCUUAGGGUACAUGGUAGGAGAGCGUUCUAAGGACGGCGAAGCUAGACCGUAAGGACUGGUGGAGUGCUUAGAAGUGAGAAUGCCGGUAUGAGUAGCGAAAGAUCAGUGAGAAUCUGGUCCACCGUAUGACUAAGGUUUCCUGGGGAAGGCUCGUCCUCCCAGGGUUAGUCGGGACCUAAGCCGAGGCCGAGAGGCGUAGGCGAUGGAUAACAGGUUGAGAUUCCUGUACUGGUUAAACUUGUUUGAACAAUGGAGGGACGCAGGAGGCUAUCGAUGCGUACUGUUGGAUAUGUACGUUCAAGCAAUAAGUCUGUAGAUGAGUCAAAUGCUUAUCUACUUAAGGACAAGUUGUGAUGAGGAGCGAAAUUUAGUAGCGAAGUGAGAGACGUCACACUGCCAAGAAAAGCUUCUAGUUAGAG
Molecule: ribosomal RNA, 1271 nt
Filed under: Ligilactobacillus salivarius
Lineage: Bacteria; Bacillati; Bacillota; Bacilli; Lactobacillales; Lactobacillaceae
Description: bacterial LSU rRNA
Rfam family: Bacterial large subunit ribosomal RNA
Source: RNAcentral